Molecule: transfer RNA, 75 nt
Filed under: Candidatus Liptonbacteria bacterium GWC1_60_9
Lineage: Bacteria; Candidatus Liptoniibacteriota
Also listed under: 1 other name
Description: tRNA-Arg
Rfam family: tRNA
About the family: Transfer RNA (tRNA) molecules are approximately 80 nucleotides in length. Their secondary structure includes four short double-helical elements and three loops (D, anti-codon, and T loops).
Source: RNAcentral
GCCCUCGUAGUUGAAUGGAUACAAUGCCUCCCUCCGAAGGAGGCGGUACAGGUUCGAUUCCUGUCGAGGGCACAA